GGCAGUUCUCGGGUGACACAUCCCAGAAGCGCGCUCCCUCCUCUCUGGUUCUGGGUCCGUCACCUGAGAACUGCC
Myotis davidii is the source of this 75-nucleotide non-coding RNA. NCBI's taxonomy places the organism in Eukaryota, Metazoa, Chordata, Mammalia, Chiroptera, Vespertilionidae. The record is from Rfam.